UGACUCUGGUAUCUCUGAUCUA
This 22-nucleotide non-coding RNA is filed under the name Arabidopsis thaliana (thale cress). Lineage: Eukaryota; Viridiplantae; Streptophyta; Magnoliopsida; Brassicales; Brassicaceae. The record is from RNAcentral.